This 803-nucleotide ribosomal RNA is filed under the name uncultured bacterium. RNAcentral's name for it is "bacterial SSU rRNA". It matches the Rfam family "Bacterial small subunit ribosomal RNA", at positions 56 to 859 of the family's 1533-position model. The record is from RNAcentral.
UGCAAGUCGGACGGGAUUGAGAAGCUUGCUUUUCAUGAGAGUGGCGCACGGGUGCGUAACACGUAUGUAACCUACCUUAAUCAGGGGGAUAGCCUCUCGAAAGAGAGAUUAACACCGCAUAAAAUCAAUUUAUGGCAUCAUAGAAUGAUCAAAUAUUUAUAGGAUUAAGAUGGGCAUGCGGAACAUUAGCUAGUUGGUAAGGUAACGGCUUACCAAGGCUACGAUGUUUAGGGGAUCUGAGAGGAUGACCCCCCACACUGGUACUGAGACACGGACCAGACUCCUACGAGAGGCAGCAGUAAGGAAUAUUGGUCAAUGGGCGCAAGCCUGAACCAGCCAUGCCGCGUGCAGGAAGACGGCCCUACGGGUUGUAAACUGCUUUUGUACCGGAAUAAACCUUUGUAUGUAUACGAAGCUGAAUGUACGGUAAGAAUAAGGAUCGGCUAACUCCGUGCCAGCAGCCGCGGUAAUACGGAGGAUCCAAGCGUUAUCCGGAUUUAUUGGGUUUAAAGGGUGCGUAGGUGGCCUAUUAAGUCAGGGGUGAAAGACGGUAGCUCAACUAUCGCAGUGCCUUUGAUACUGAUGGGCUUGAAUACACUAGAGGUAGGCGGAAUGUGACAAGUAGCGGUGAAAUGCGUAGAUAUGUCACAGAACACCAAUUGCGAAGGCAGCUUACUAUGGUGUCAUUGACACUGAGGCACGAAAGCGUGGGGAUCAAACAGGAUUAGAUACCCUGGUAGUCCACGCCCUAAACGAUGAACACUCGAUGUUGGCGAUAUACGGUCAGCGUCUAAGCGAAAGCG